AAACCUUUUUGCUCCCUGAUGUUAGCGGCGGACGGGUGAGUAACACGUGGGUAACCUGCCUGUAAGACUGGGAUAACUCCGGGAAACCGGGGCUAAUACCGGAUGCUUGUUUGAACCGCAUGGUUCAAACAUAAAAGGUGGCUUCGGCUACCACUUACAGAUGGACCCGCGGCGCAUUAGCUAGUUGGUGAGGUAAUGGCUCACCAAGGCAACGAUGCGUAGCCGACCUGAGAGGGUGAUCGGCCACACUGGGACUGAGACACGGCCCAGACUCCUACGGGAGGCAGCAGUAGGGAAUCUUCCGCAAUGGACGAAAGUCUGACGGAGCAACGCCGCGUGAGUGAUGAAGGUUUUCGGAUCGUAAAGCUCUGUUGUUAGGGAAGAACAAGUGCCGUUCAAAUAGGGCGGCACCUUGACGGUACCUAACCAGAAAGCCACGGCUAACUACGUGCCAGCAGCCGCGGUAAUACGUAGGUGGCAAGCGUUGUCCGGAAUUAUUGGGCGUAAAGGGCUCGCAGGCGGUUUCUUAAGUCUGAUGUGAAAGCCCCCGGCUCAACCGGGGAGGGUCAUUGGAAACUGGGGAACUUGAGUGCAGAAGAGGAGAGUGGAAUUCCACGUGUAGCGGUGAAAUGCGUAGAGAUGUGGAGGAACACCAGUGGCGAAGGCGACUCUCUGGUCUGUAACUGACGCUGAGGAGCGAAAGCGUGGGGAGCGAACAGGAUUAGAUACCCUGGUAGUCCACGCCGUAAACGAUGAGUGCUAAGUGUUAGGGGGUUUCCGCCCCUUAGUGCUGCAGCUAACGCAUUAAGCACUCCGCCUGGGGAGUACGGUCGCAAGACUGAAACUCAAAGGAAUUGACGGGGGCCCGCACAAGCGGUGGAGCAUGUGGUUUAAUUCGAAGCAACGCGAAGAACCUUACCAGGUCUUGACAUCCUCUGACACCCCUAGAGAUAGGGCUUCCCCUUCGGGGGCAGAGUGACAGGUGGUGCAUGGUUGUCGUCAGCUCGUGUCGUGAGAUGUUGGGUUAAGUCCCGCAACGAGCGCAACCCUUGAUCUUAGUUGCCAGCAUUCAGUUGGGCACUCUAAGGUGACUGCCGGUGACAAACCGGAGGAAGGUGGGGAUGACGUCAAAUCAUCAUGCCCCUUAUGACCUGGGCUACACACGUGCUACAAUGGACAGAACAAAGGGCAGCGAGACCGCGAGGUUAAGCCAAUCCCACAAAUCUGUUCUCAGUUCG
Molecule: ribosomal RNA, 1238 nt
Filed under: Bacillus sp. Rm037
Lineage: Bacteria; Bacillati; Bacillota; Bacilli; Caryophanales; Bacillaceae
Description: bacterial SSU rRNA
Rfam family: Bacterial small subunit ribosomal RNA
Source: RNAcentral